Molecule: ribosomal RNA, 485 nt
Filed under: uncultured bacterium
Lineage: Bacteria
Description: partial 16S ribosomal RNA
Rfam family: Bacterial small subunit ribosomal RNA
Source: RNAcentral
ACGAACGCUGGCGGCGUGCUUAACACAUGCAAGUCGAACGCUGAAGACCUGGCUUUUGUUGGGUUGGAUGAGUGGCGAACGGGUGAGUAACACGUGAGUAACCUGCCCUCUUCUUUGGGAUAACGCCCGGAAACGGGUGCUAAUACUGGAUAUUCACUGGCCUUCGCAUGGGGGUUGGUGGAAAGGUUUGUUCUGGUGGGGGAUGGGCUCGCGGCCUAUCAGCUUGUUGGUGGGGUGAUGGCCUACCAAGGCUUUGACGGGUAGCCGGCCUGAGAGGGUGACCGGUCACAUUGGGACUGGGAUACGGCCCAGACUCCUACGGGAGGCAGCAGUGGGGAAUAUUGCACAAAGGGCGAAAGCAUGAUGCAGCGGCGCCGCGUGAGGGAUGGAGGCCUUCGGGUUGUAAACCUCUUUCGCUAAUGGUCAAGCCGCAACUGUGGGUUGUGGUGAGGGUAGUGGGUAAAGAAGCGCCGGCUAACUACGUG